GUCCCCGUAGCUCAGUGGAUAGAGCGCUAGCCUCCGGAGCUAGAAGCGGGAGUUCGAGCCUCCCCGGGGACGCCA
RNAcentral lists this transfer RNA (75 nucleotides) under Leptolinea sp. RNAcentral's name for it is "tRNA-Arg". It matches the Rfam family "tRNA". Rfam says of the family: Transfer RNA (tRNA) molecules are approximately 80 nucleotides in length. Their secondary structure includes four short double-helical elements and three loops (D, anti-codon, and T loops). The record is from RNAcentral. Lineage: Bacteria; Bacillati; Chloroflexota; Anaerolineae; Anaerolineales; Anaerolineaceae.